UUAUACAACAUCAACAAUUAUGAAAAACUUUUAUUCCAACAUAUUGUAAUAAAAAAUUCACAAAAAUAAUAACCAGUAUAAAUACAAUUGUAUGCAAAUGUCCUUGGUCAGAAGUCUGCUGUUCAGUAGUUGUCGUUUGUUGUUAUGGUUCAUAAGUGUUUCUCGUUUCUCAUUUUGUAUACAAAUUAGGCUGCUGCUUUCCUGUUUAAAUUGUUUUUCACUAGUCAUUUUGGGGCCCUUGAUAGCUUGCAGUUCGGUGUGAGCCAAAUUAUGAAUGCGUGUUGAAGUCCGUACUUUAACCUGUAAUUGUUAACUUUAUAUAUAUACAUUGUUAUUUCGAUGGAGAGUUGUCUCAAUGGCACUAAUACCACAUCUUCUUAUUUAUAUGUAUAUAUAAAAACUAACAAAUCCUUGCAAAAAAUACAUACUCAGUAUACUAUUUGCAGUUAUAAUUAUAUGAAAACCGUUUUAUAAUAUUUAUUUCCACCUAUGUUGUCGAAUGCACAAGUCUUUUUGGAUUACGCUUCACCAAAG
RNAcentral lists this long non-coding RNA (534 nucleotides) under Mytilus galloprovincialis (Mediterranean mussel). The record is from RNAcentral. Lineage: Eukaryota; Metazoa; Mollusca; Bivalvia; Mytilida; Mytilidae.